RNAcentral lists this ribosomal RNA (442 nucleotides) under uncultured bacterium. RNAcentral's name for it is "partial 16S ribosomal RNA". It matches the Rfam family "Bacterial small subunit ribosomal RNA", at positions 28 to 507 of the family's 1533-position model. The record is from RNAcentral.
GAUGAACGCUGGCGGCGUGCCUUAUACAUGCAAGUCGAGUGGGUUUAGACCCACGGCACACGGGUGAGUAACACGUAGGUACUUUCCUUGUCACAGGAAUAACCCUCCGAAAGGAGGGCUAAUACCUGAUGUGAUCGCAAGAUUAAAGGGUAUCCGCAAGGAUUACCGGACAAGAAGAGGCCUGCGGCCUAUCAGCUAGUUGGCGGGGUAAAUGCCCACCAAGGCUAUGACGGGUAGCUGGUCUUAUGAGGAUGAUCAGUCACAUGGGCACUGAGACACGGGCCCAACUCCUACGGGAGGCAGCAGUAGGGAAUUUUGCGCAAUGGGCGAAAGCCUGACGCAGCGACGCCGCGUGCGGGAGGAAGGCCUUCGGGUCGUAAACCGCUUUUAUAAGGGACGAACUUUGACGGUACCUUAUGAAUAAGAGGUUGCCAACUCUGUG